UAAACUUCAGGGCCCCUUGCUUGCAUGAGCCUUUCCAAGGCCCUGGGAUGGUCCCCAGAAGUGUGUUCACAUUGUCAUAGGUUUAUAUAAAGUUUGUAAAAGUAGAAUAAAUUUGUAUUCUUUUUCUCACAAAGGACUCCAAAAUUGUAUACACUUCAGGCCCCACAAAAUGUUCAUCUGCCUCUGCAUGUGGGACUGUCACAAGUAUCAAAACAGAAGGAUGGUGGUAAAUAUUAACUCGAAGAUGAAAAUACUAAGUACAAAGUCCAGACUAUUUGAAGAUCUUUUUGUUCCUGUCUCUUCAAAAGGAGUCACUCCAAGUCCAAAUGACUUCAAUGCUGGCAAAAAUGAAGCCCACUUUUCAACUUACCCAGGAUGUGUGCAACAAAUUUCCCAAUGGUGUAGAAACAAUAUUAUAUUUCCCAAAUAUAUUUGGCUAUGGGAUCCUAGGCUCAUGCAACACCAAACUUGUGUUUCAAGGAGCAAAUUUUGGGAAAUAACUUAUUAGAGAAGUUCUUUUUUGCCAGCAAUGUGCAAAUGAAUAUUUAUUAAAAUUCUAAAAGAAGUAAAAUUAAUGGGGGCCUGUAUAGAAUCCAGUUUUUAUUUCCUAAAUAAUAUUACUGUUUUUUAGAUGAUCAAGUGAUUUUUGUCCUCAUGGAAGAGUAGAAUACUUAAGGAAAAAGGAUUCAUCUAUAUGGGUAACUGUAUUCAGAGUCUGGAUUUUAAUUAAAACAAUUUUGUCCUUUGUUUUUAGUAGGUUUUGCCCUUUGGUUUUAGUAGAAAUUCAAACAAGUCAAAGUAAAUACAUGGAAACCAAGUUGAAAAAGACCAAAAAGAAAUAUAAAGGAAAAGUAUUACCAAAAUGGCCUAGAAUAAUGGUGGGUUAUUUUCUUUUUUUGGCCUUUUGAAAAAUACAAUCGCAUUCUAACAUAACAGGAAAAAUUUGGUUGUGAAUAAAACACUUGUGAAAGUUUAUUUCUUGAGAUUUUAUAAAGUAAAAAAAAAGGGGACAUUUGCAACCAAAGGGGGGGGGAACGUGUAGUGUAUGUUGAAAAUGGUUGUAAGCAAUCUUUUUUCUCAAUAUCACAGCUAUUAUACUGUGAUGUGUGCCAGCCUGAAAACACUGUUAAAAGGGGGCGGGGGGGGAAGCCAUAGUCUAGCAAAAGCCAUGGUUGAUGAAUCCAUAAAUUUUUAAAAUAAAAUUCACCACCACCAGACCCCCAGAAGGCCACCUUGGUCAUCCAGGUAGAAUAAGGAAUCAUUGAAACACAUAUCAGAGUCCUACACAAAAUGCCUCCAGGGGUUACAGGUCCCUUACCAAAUAUUCCAGUGGUUUUUCUCUGUGUGUUAUAUCUAAAUACUUAGAGCACUGAGUUAUUUUUGGUAAUAGGAAGCCCCAACUGAAGAUUGACAGUGGUAGAGAAUAAUUUUGAUUAGGAGAGAUCUUUCAACAACUAGAAAUAUGGGCAGUUACCCAGGAUCUAGGAAAGUAAAAUGGCACACUAUUUUAUACAUAUCAUUUAUCCAGCCAUAUCAUUACUUCACUAGUCUGUCACUCAAACAUUUAUUAAGCACUUUAAUAUGUCAAGUAAUGGACCGAGUCCUAUGCCAGAAAUACAGCAAUGUUCAAAUAAUUCAGGGGAACAUCUUAAUGCUGUAUAAAAGGUUGGAAAGAAUUAUUUCCUUUAACUGAAACAAUUAUAUUAUGAAACUUUGGCAAGACCAGAGUUAUUUUGCUGGCUAUUAACCUAAUCUAAAAACUGUUCAUAAUUUUUAAUUAAUGUUUUGUUUGCCAUAAUAAAUAGCAAUUAUUCUAUUAAUUUUUGUUUGUUGGAAAUGAGUACCAAUGAAUGCUAGAUGGGUUUUGAACAAAAUGGUAAGGUGGGAAGGCAAGGACAGGCGAUCAAUUGAUUAGUGUUACUAAUAAUGCAGAAGAUAAAACCUUAAGGGCAGAAAUCAUUUUGCUUGAUAUUAAUACACUAAAAGAAAUUGGUGCCUACAAGUAUAAAGUGUCAAGACUCAUCAUUUGACCCAAGGGAAGAAAUACUGAUAAAUAGACACUC
This 2063-nucleotide long non-coding RNA is filed under the name Canis lupus familiaris (dog). Its description in RNAcentral is "lncRNA (ENSCAFG00000050770.1)". The record is from RNAcentral. Lineage: Eukaryota; Metazoa; Chordata; Mammalia; Carnivora; Canidae.